AUACAUGCAAGUCGUGGGGUAGCGCAGUGUAGCAAUACAUGGGCGACGACCGGCAAACGGGUGCGUAACACGUACGCAACUUACCCACUACUGGUGAAUAGCCCAGGGAAACUUGGAUUAAUACACCAUAUUAUAUAGGAUUGGCAUCAAUUUUAUAUCAAAGCUUCGGCGGUAGUGGACGGGCGUGCGGUUGAUUAGAUAGUUGGCGGGGUAACGGCCCACCAAGUCUACGAUCAAUAGCUGAUGUGAGAGCAUGAUCAGCCACACGGGCACUGAGACACGGGCCCGACUCCUACGGGAGGCAGCAGUAAGGAAUAUUGGGCAAUGGACGCAAGUCUGACCCAGCCAUGCCGCGUGAAGGAUGACGGUCCUCUGGAUUGUAAACUUCUUUUAUCUGGGACGAAAACCACCUUUUCUAGGGUGCUUGACAGUACCAGGUGAAUAAGCACCGGCUAACUCCGUGCCAGCAGCCGCGGUAAUACGGAGGGUGCAAGCGUUGUCCGGAUUCACUGGGUUUAAAGGGUGCGUAGGCGGGCAGGUAAGUCAGUGGUGAAAUCUUCGAGCUUAACUCGGAAACUGCCGUUGAUACUAUCUGUCUUGAAUAUAGUGGAGGUAAGCGGAAUAUGUCAUGUAGCGGUGAAAUGCUUAGAGAUGACAUAGAACACCAAUUGCGAAGGCAGCUUGCUACACUAUUAUUGACGCUGAGGCACGAAAGCGUGGGGAUCAAACAGGAUUAGAUACCCUGGUAG
Molecule: ribosomal RNA, 749 nt
Filed under: uncultured bacterium
Lineage: Bacteria
Description: bacterial SSU rRNA
Rfam family: Bacterial small subunit ribosomal RNA
Source: RNAcentral